CGCAUAAAACCUGCUGGGAGGAGAAAAGCACUUUAAAACCUUCUGCCCGCCUUCGCGCUAUCCCCCAUUCCCCCGUGCGGAUCGCGGUGAAGCGGGACACGGGGUGGGAGAAGCGAGGCGGCCGCCCCAUGCGAGGGAAAGGAAGGAAGCAAGUAAGCAAGCAAGCAAGCAAGGGGGAAGCAAUUUUCCUCCUUUUGUGAUAUGGUUCUGCAUAGCAUCCUGCACUGUAUACAGUUUCUAGGUGUUCCAGCCACUGCUGACAAAACCUAACAUAUUAUCUGUUUUUUAUGUAGCCUGCUAAGUUUACCAGGAAAAGGGAGGAUCUGACAUCUGACAAGAAUUCCUUCCUGAGCUUUAUCUGCAAUAGUAUUGUUAUCAGUCAGCUUUUUUGCUUUUUUUUUGUGCAUGCACACAGCUGCUCUUCAGAAGAUGAUCAUUUCAGAUCUUAAAAUAACAUUUCACCUUCAUUAUUCAUCACAGCUGUCUGAAAAUUCACAUGAGGAGAAGUACAUUUGUAGUGAUGUGGAAUGUUGGGAUAUUUUUGCUGUGGGUUAGCAUGUGUGUCAGAAGAAAGGUUUCAGAAACUACUUCAACUGUAGAUAUUAAAAGGAAAGACCAUAAAUCUUGUGAUGGAGAAGCUGAUGGUGGUAUAAAAGGACAGAUUCUCCAACUACUCUGCAGAUCUUGACUAACACAAGGACACACUAUGUUACAAAAGGGAACUAAUGUGUUCCUCUCUUUCCUGCCUGCUUCUCCAGUUAGAAUCGAAGGAUGUUUUUCGGCCAGAAAGACUUUGCCUGCAGGGAAUUGUAAGACAUUGUAAGAUUAUUAAUCUGUUUUAUC
Molecule: long non-coding RNA, 843 nt
Organism: Pezoporus flaviventris
Lineage: Eukaryota; Metazoa; Chordata; Aves; Psittaciformes; Psittacidae
Exons: 3
Source: RefSeq, a predicted model, not a curated record